RNAcentral lists this ribosomal RNA (468 nucleotides) under uncultured bacterium. RNAcentral describes it as "partial 16S ribosomal RNA". It matches the Rfam family "Bacterial small subunit ribosomal RNA", at positions 28 to 507 of the family's 1533-position model. The record is from RNAcentral.
GACGAACGCUGGCGGCGUGCUUAACACAUGCAAGUCGAACGGAAAGGCCCUGCUUUUGUGGGGUGCUCGAGUGGCGAACGGGUGAGUAACACGUGAGUCACCUGCCCUUGACUUUGUGAUAACUUCUGGAAACUGGGGCUAAUACCUGAUAGGUUCUCCUGCUGCUUGGUGGGGGUUGGAAAGUUUCGGCGGUUGGGGAUUGACUCGCGGCUUAUCAGCUUGUUGGUGGGGUAGUGGCUUACCAAGGCUUUGACGGGUAGCCGGCCUGAGAGGGUGACCGGCCAAAUUGGGAAUGAGAUAGGGAACAGACUCCAAAGGGAGGAAGCAGGGGGGAAUAUUGCAAAAUGGGAGGAAGCCUGAUGCAGAAACGCCGCGUGAGGGAUGACGGCCGUCGGGUUGUAAACCGCUUUAGCAUGUGACGAAGCGAGAGUGACGGUAAUGGGUAAAGAAGCACCGGCUAACUACGUG